AUUGAACGCUGGCGGCAUGCCUAACACAUGCAAGUCGAACGGCAGCACGGGGGCUUGCCCCUGGUGGCGAGUGGCGCGCGGGUGUGAAAUACAUCGGUAUAUGUCCUGUAGGGGGGUAAAGUCCGGCGAAAGGCGGUAUUAUACCACAUGCGAUCUACGGGAAAGAGCGGGGGCUUUUGGGGUCACGCGCUCUGGGGUUGGUCGAUGGCGGAUUAGCUAGUUGGUGGGGUAAAGGCCUACCAAGGCGACGAUCAGUAUCUGGUCUGAGAGGACGAACAGCCACACUGGAACUGAGACACGGCCCAGACUCCUACGGGAGGCAGCAGUGGGGAAUUUUGGACAAUGGGCGAAAGCCUGAUCCAGCAAUGCCGCGUGUGUGAAGAAGGUCUUCGGAUUGUAAAGCACUUUUGUUCGGGAAGAAGUCCUUUGCUCUAAUACAGUCGGGUGUUGACGGUACCGAAAGAAUAAGCACCGGCUAACUACGUG
Molecule: ribosomal RNA, 486 nt
Filed under: uncultured bacterium
Lineage: Bacteria
Description: partial 16S ribosomal RNA
Rfam family: Bacterial small subunit ribosomal RNA
Source: RNAcentral